UCCGUAGGUGAACCUGCGGAAGGAUCAUUAAAGAUUAUGAAUGAAUAGAUUACUGGGGGAAUCGUCUGAACAAGGCCUGCGCUUAAUUGCGCGGCCAGUUCUUGAUUCUCUGCUAUCAGUUUUCUAUUUCUCAUCCUAAACACAAUGGAGUUUUUUCUCUAUGAACUACUUCCCUGGAGAGCUCGUCUCUCCAGUGGACAUAAACACAAACAAUAUUUUGUAUUAUGAAAAACUAUUAUACUAUAAAAUUUAAUAUUCAAAACUUUCAACAACGGAUCUCUUGGUUCUCGCAUCGAUGAAGAACGCAGCGAAUUGCGAUAUGUAUUGUGAAUUGCAGAUUUUCGUGAAUCAUCAAAUCUUUGAACGCACAUUGCGCCCUCUGGUAUUCCAGGGGGCAUGCCUGUUUGAGCGUCAUUUCUCUCUCAAACCUUUGGGUUUGGUAGUGAGUGAUACUCGUCUCGGGUUAACUUGAAAGUGGCUAGCCGUUGCCAUCUGCGUGAGCAGGGCUGCGUGUCAAGUCUAUGGACUCGACUCUUGCACAUCUACGUCUUAGGUUUGCGCCAAUUCGUGGUAAGCUUGGGUCAUAGAGACUCAUAGGUGUUAUAAAGACUCGCUGGUGUUUGUCUCCUUGAGGCAUACGGCUUUAACCAAAACUCUCAAAGUUUGACCUCAAAUCAGGUAGGAGUACCCGCUGAACUUAAGCAUAUCAAUAAGCGGAGGAAAAGA
Molecule: small RNA, 726 nt
Filed under: Kluyveromyces marxianus
Lineage: Eukaryota; Fungi; Ascomycota; Saccharomycetes; Saccharomycetales; Saccharomycetaceae
Description: eukaryotic LSU rRNA
Rfam family: 5.8S ribosomal RNA (bases 261-414)
Source: RNAcentral